Molecule: ribosomal RNA, 419 nt
Filed under: Bacillus sp. 1735b
Lineage: Bacteria; Bacillati; Bacillota; Bacilli; Caryophanales; Bacillaceae
Description: bacterial SSU rRNA
Rfam family: Bacterial small subunit ribosomal RNA
Source: RNAcentral
CCUUGACUUAUGGCCAGCAUUCAGUAGGGCAUCUAAGGUGACUGCCGGUGACAAACCGGAGGAAGGUGGGGAUGACGUCAAAUCAUCAUGCCCCUUAUGACCUGGGCUACACACGUGCUACAAUGGGUGGUGCAAAGGGUUGCAAACCCGCGAGGCCGAGCCAAUCCCAAAAAGCCACUCUCAGUUCGGAUUGUAGGCUGCAACUCGCCUACAUGAAACCGGAAUUGCUAUUAAUCGCGGAUCAGCAUGCCGCGGUGAAUACGUUCCCGGGCCUUGUACACACCGCCCGUCACACCACAAGAGUUUGUAACACCCGAAAUCAGUGGGGUAACCUUUUGGAGCCANCCGCCGAAAGUGGGACAGAUGAUUGGGGUGAAGUCGUAACAAGGUGGCCGUAUCGNAAGGUGCGGCUGGAUCAC